CCUUCUCAUGCUGACACGCGUCCCCAGCAGACCAAAAUUAUCCCUAUAUUUCACUCUUUGAGCCGACCACAGACCUUCCGCUCUUUUGGCCCGACUGCCAAUCUACAAUAGUAUGGGUCCGACCGCCAAUCCUCCCGACUUGCGAACCAUCUGGCCUGAGGUCUUUCCGCCUUGAGGACUUCCCGACCUGAAAACCUUCCGACUUGAGGUCUUUCCGUCUUGAGGACUUCCCGACCUGAAAACCUUCCGACUUGAGGUCUUUCCGUCUUGAGGACCUCCCGACCUGAAAACCUUCCGACUUGAGGUCCUUCCGUCUUGAGGACCUAC
Long non-coding RNA from Andrographis paniculata, 327 nucleotides. RefSeq lists it as uncharacterized. NCBI's taxonomy places the organism in Eukaryota, Viridiplantae, Streptophyta, Magnoliopsida, Lamiales, Acanthaceae. The transcript is spliced from 3 exons. The record is from RefSeq and is a predicted model, not a curated record.